CAAAUGUUUGGUGCUCCCACUCUGUCACAGCUCACAGAUGCGUUUCUACGAUCCAUUACAAAUUCCGAACGGUAACGAAGGUUAACCGCAAAGGCGGUUUAAGGGUUUGCUUUAGAUUCUCUGGCAUCAAGUGGAGCUUCAGACCAUGUCUCUCGCCUGUUCCAGGGCUGGAGAGACGGCUCAUGAAGAGCACUUUUCCACGGGCUCCAGGCACACAUGUGGUGCACAGACACUCGUGCACGCCAGGCACUCAACAGAAUGUUUGUUGCGCAUAACAAGUACACAGAACCUGCAGCUAAAAACAAGCAAGAAACGCUUCUCCCACCAAGGAAUUCUAAACAGUCGGAUGAUGAAGGCAGUGGACCCAAACAAUCACUUCGUUGAAAUGGCGGCAUCCACGGCCUCUGGGAAUAAAACUCUAAUUUAGCAGCACGUAUAAAGAAGGCCAGUGCCGAGAGGAAAGUCACGUUUACUUCAGUGUCCACGGGGACAUGAUAAGUGCCAGAAAAAACAAAAAAACAGAAACCAUAUUUUCAUGACCAAGCAUCUGUGAUAAACAUCCAAAAGUCUAAGGUGCCUUUCGUCUCGGCAGGGAGGAGGCAGCAGAGACAAGUGACUGAAUCUCUGGGAGUUCCAGGACAGCUAGGGGUCUGUGGUGAGACCCUGUCUUAAAGAUGAUAAAAAUGAAAAACAAGCAUUUAAAACAAAAGUUAAAAUUAUUUCUGGGAUUUUAACUCUAAUGCAGGUUUUCUUCAUUAAAAG
This 762-nucleotide long non-coding RNA is filed under the name Rattus norvegicus (Norway rat). RNAcentral describes it as "long non-coding RNA NONRATT003917". Lineage: Eukaryota; Metazoa; Chordata; Mammalia; Rodentia; Muridae. The record is from RNAcentral.